GCUUUCGUAGUUAAAUGGAUAUAACUUGCCCCUCCGGAGGGUAGAUUGGAGGUUCGAUUCCUCCCGAGAGCGCCA
This 75-nucleotide transfer RNA is filed under the name Thiosulfativibrio zosterae. Its description in RNAcentral is "tRNA-Arg". It matches the Rfam family "tRNA". Rfam says of the family: Transfer RNA (tRNA) molecules are approximately 80 nucleotides in length. Their secondary structure includes four short double-helical elements and three loops (D, anti-codon, and T loops). Lineage: Bacteria; Pseudomonadati; Pseudomonadota; Gammaproteobacteria; Thiotrichales; Piscirickettsiaceae. The record is from RNAcentral.